This 659-nucleotide ribosomal RNA is filed under the name Drosophila angularis. RNAcentral describes it as "eukaryotic LSU rRNA". It matches the Rfam family "Eukaryotic large subunit ribosomal RNA", at positions 100 to 631 of the family's 3401-position model. The record is from RNAcentral. Lineage: Eukaryota; Metazoa; Arthropoda; Insecta; Diptera; Drosophilidae.
GAAAUCAGUUCAGCACUAAGUCACUUUGUCUAUAUGGCAAAUGUGAGAUGCAGUGUAUGGAACAUCAAUAUUCUAGUAUGAGAAAUUAACGAUUUAAGUCCUUCUUAAAUGAGGCCAUUUACCCAUAGAGGGUGCCAGGCCCGUAUAACGUUAAUGAUUAUUAGAUGAUGUUUCCAAAGAGUCGUGUUGCUUGAUAGUGCAGCACUAAGUGGGUGGUAAACUCCAUCUAAAACUAAAUAUAACCAUGAGACCGAUAGUAAACAAGUACCGUGAGGGAAAGUUGAAAAGAACUCUGAAUAGAGAGUUAAAUAGUACGUGAAACUGCUUAGAGGUUAAGCCCGAUGAACCUGAAUAUCCGUUAUGGAAAAUUCAUCAUUAGAGUUGUAAUAUUUAAACAAUAUUAUAACAAUAGUGUGCAUUUUUUCCAUAUAAGGACAUUGUAAUCUAUUAGUAUCAUUAAUUUAUCAAAAAAUUUUAGUCAAUUGCUUAUUUUAAUUAAAAUGCUUGCAUUUUAACAUAAAAUAAAAGUCAUAAAUUUGAUAAAGUGCUGAUAGAUUUAUAUGAAUACAGUGCGUUAAUUUUUCGGAAUUAUAUAAUGGCAUAAUUAUCAUUGAUUUUUGUGUUUAUUAUAUGCACUUGUAUGAUAACAAUGCGAAAGA